GCCGGCGUAGCUCAGCUGGUAGAGCAGCUGAUUUGUAAUCAGAAGGUCCCCGGUUCGAGUCCGGGCGCUGGCACCG
This 76-nucleotide transfer RNA is filed under the name Caulobacterales bacterium 32-69-10. RNAcentral's name for it is "tRNA-Thr". It matches the Rfam family "tRNA". From Rfam's summary of the family: Transfer RNA (tRNA) molecules are approximately 80 nucleotides in length. Their secondary structure includes four short double-helical elements and three loops (D, anti-codon, and T loops). Further hydrogen bonds mediate the characteristic L-shaped molecular structure. tRNAs have two regions of fundamental functional importance: the anti-codon, which is responsible for specific mRNA codon recognition, and the 3' end, to which the tRNAs corresponding amino acid is attached (by aminoacyl-tRNA synthetases). tRNAs cope with the degeneracy of the genetic code in two manners: having more than one tRNA (with a specific anti-codon) for a particular amino acid; and 'wobble' base-pairing, i.e. permitting non-standard base-pairing at the 3rd anti-codon position. Lineage: Bacteria; Pseudomonadati; Pseudomonadota; Alphaproteobacteria; Caulobacterales. The record is from RNAcentral.